ACUGGGGUAGCUCAGUCGGUAGAGCGUGAGCCUCUUAAUCUCAGGGUUGUAGGUGUGAGCCCCAUAUUCCUGCA
Molecule: transfer RNA, 74 nt
Filed under: Podarcis lilfordi (Lilford's wall lizard)
Lineage: Eukaryota; Metazoa; Chordata; Lepidosauria; Squamata; Lacertidae
Rfam family: tRNA
About the family: Transfer RNA (tRNA) molecules are approximately 80 nucleotides in length. Their secondary structure includes four short double-helical elements and three loops (D, anti-codon, and T loops). Further hydrogen bonds mediate the characteristic L-shaped molecular structure. tRNAs have two regions of fundamental functional importance: the anti-codon, which is responsible for specific mRNA codon recognition, and the 3' end, to which the tRNAs corresponding amino acid is attached (by aminoacyl-tRNA synthetases). tRNAs cope with the degeneracy of the genetic code in two manners: having more than one tRNA (with a specific anti-codon) for a particular amino acid; and 'wobble' base-pairing, i.e. permitting non-standard base-pairing at the 3rd anti-codon position.
Source: Rfam by way of RNAcentral